This 433-nucleotide ribosomal RNA is filed under the name uncultured bacterium. Its description in RNAcentral is "partial 16S ribosomal RNA". It matches the Rfam family "Bacterial small subunit ribosomal RNA", at positions 29 to 507 of the family's 1533-position model. The record is from RNAcentral.
AAUGAACGCUGGCGGCAUGCCUAACACAUGCAAGUCGAACGAGACCUCCGGGAGUGGUGGCGCUCGCGGGUGUAACGUGUGGGACGGUGGCCGUAGGUACGGAAUACUACUUCGACAGGGGUGCUAAUGUAGGAAAACGUCCGCGGAUAAAACAUAUAUCGCCUGUGGGUGAGCAGGGGUUGGUUUAGCUAGUUGGGAGGGUAAAAGCCUACCAAGGAGACGAUCCAUAGCGGGGCUGAGAGGAUGAUCAGCCACACUGGGACUGAGACACGGCCCAGACUCCUACGGGAGGCAGCAGUGGGGAAUAUUGGACAAUGGGCGAAAGCCUGAUCCAGCUAUGCCGCGUGAGUGAUGAAGGCCUUAGGGUUGUAAAGCUCUUUUACCCGGGAUGAUAAUGACAGUACCGGAAGAAUAAGCUCCGGCUAACUCCGUG